RNAcentral lists this ribosomal RNA (835 nucleotides) under uncultured Acidobacteriota bacterium. RNAcentral's name for it is "bacterial SSU rRNA". It matches the Rfam family "Bacterial small subunit ribosomal RNA", at positions 58 to 899 of the family's 1533-position model. Lineage: Bacteria; Pseudomonadati; Acidobacteriota. The record is from RNAcentral.
CAAGUCGAGCGAGAAAAGGGGGGCAACUCCCUGAGUACAGCGGCGCACGGGUGAGUAACACGUGGGUAAUCUGCCCUGAAGUGGGGAAUAACACCGGGAAACCGGUGCUAAUACCGCAUACGAUCACGAGGUCUGCGGAUUUUGUGAUGAAAGGAGCAAUUCGCUUUAGGAGGAGCCCGCGGCUGAUUAGCUAGUUGGUGAGGUAAUGGCUCACCAAGGCAACGAUCAGUAUCCGGUCUGAGAGGACGGUCGGACACACUGGAACUGAGACACGGUCCAGACUCCUACGGGAGGCAGCAGUGGGGAAUUUUUGGCAAUGGGGGCAACCCUGACCAAGCAACGCCGCGUGGGUGAUGAAGUCUCUUGGGACGUAAAACCCUUUCGACGGGGAAGAAACCGCAAGGUUGACGGUACCCGUAGAAGAAGCCCCGGCUAACUCCGUGCCAGCAGCCGCGGUAAUACGGGGGGGGCAAGCGUUGUUCGGAAUUACUGGGCGUAAAGGGCGCGUAGGCGGUUCGCUAAGUUGGAUGUGAAAACUCUGGGCUCAACCCAGAGCCUGCAUCCAAAACUGGCGGGCUAGAGUUCUGGAGGGGGUAGCGGAAUUCCUGGUGUAGCGGUGAAAUGCGUAGAUAUCAGGAGGAACACCGGUGGCGAAGGCGGCUACCUGGACAGAAACUGACGCUGAGGCGCGAAAGCUAGGGGAGCAAACAGGAUUAGAUACCCUGGUAGUCCUAGCCCUAAACGAUGGAUACUUGGUGUGACGGGGAUUGAAUCCCGUCGUGCCGAAGCUAACGCAUUAAGUAUCCCGCCUGGGGAGUACGGUCGCAGGCUGAAA